RNAcentral lists this non-coding RNA (26 nucleotides) under Xenopus tropicalis (tropical clawed frog). RNAcentral also lists the same sequence under 3 other names. Lineage: Eukaryota; Metazoa; Chordata; Amphibia; Anura; Pipidae. The record is from RNAcentral.
UGAUCUCGGAAGCUAAGCAGGGACGG